CUGACACCUGGCAGUUCUUGGGAAAUACCUGCACACGAAUGGAGGCAAGGCCUCUCUCCAGGGGAGGACGCUGAAGAGGUGAAAAGUGAGCCUCCUGCUCUCCCUUUGAGGCAAUUUGGCAUAGCCUGGGUUCUCAGAUCAGACGGAAGUGGGUUCAGUUCUCGGCUCGGAGCCACCUUAGACUGCUGGUUGAAAUACCUCUGGGCCUGUUCCUGCCUCUGGACAGUGGGAAGGUACUGAGACUACCUCUCAGGAUUGCCGCUACAGGAGGCGAGAGGGACACCUAACCUCAUCUCCGCUGGGCACAGAGACGGCUUCUCAGAAGAAGCGAUAUCUACACAAAGUCCUAAAGACCAAGGGGUCAGGCACAGCACUGAGUGCUGGAGAUGCAAGAAUCCAUCCAACCAACGCAGGCAGAUGGCAACAAGUGCCAGGAGGAAC
RNAcentral lists this long non-coding RNA (441 nucleotides) under Equus asinus (donkey). RNAcentral describes it as "lncRNA (ENSEASG00005029081.1)". Lineage: Eukaryota; Metazoa; Chordata; Mammalia; Perissodactyla; Equidae. The record is from RNAcentral.